AGGUUGAUAGGUCAGAGGUGUAAGUGUGGUAACAUAUUUAGCUGACUGAUACUAAUAGGUCGAGGGCUUGACCAAA
RNAcentral lists this ribosomal RNA (76 nucleotides) under Clostridium gallinarum. RNAcentral's name for it is "Clostridium sp. Sa3CUN1 partial 23S ribosomal RNA". It matches the Rfam family "Bacterial large subunit ribosomal RNA", at positions 2850 to 2925 of the family's 2925-position model. Lineage: Bacteria; Bacillati; Bacillota; Clostridia; Eubacteriales; Clostridiaceae. The record is from RNAcentral.